Molecule: ribosomal RNA, 470 nt
Filed under: uncultured bacterium
Lineage: Bacteria
Description: partial 16S ribosomal RNA
Rfam family: Bacterial small subunit ribosomal RNA
Source: RNAcentral
GACGAACGCUGGCGGCGUGCUUAACACAUGCAAGUCGAACGCUGAAGCACCAGCUUGCUGGUGUGGAUGAGUGGCGAACGGGUGAGUAAUACGUGAGUAACCUGCCCUUGACUCUGGGAUAAGCCCGGGAAACUGGGUCUAAUACUGGAUGCUACAUGUCACCGCAUGGUGGUGUGUGGAAAGGGUUUACUGGUCUUGGAUGGGCUCACGGCCUAUCAGCUUGUUGGUGAGGUAAUGGCUCACCAAGGCGACGACGGGUAGCCGGCCUGAGAGGGUGACCGGCCACACUGGGACUGAGACACGGCCCAGACUCCUACGGGGGGCAGCAGUGGGGAAUAUUGCACAAUGGGCGAAAGCCUGAUGCAGCGACGCCGCGUGAGGGAUGACGGCCUUCGGGUUGUAAACCUCUUUCAGCAGGGAAGAAGCCACAAGUGACGGUACCUGCAGAAGAAGCGCCGGCUAACUACGUG